This is a non-coding RNA of Epinephelus moara (kelp grouper), 332 nucleotides long. The record is from the annotation of a RefSeq genome assembly. Lineage: Eukaryota; Metazoa; Chordata; Actinopteri; Perciformes; Serranidae.
GAUGCAGCGCUCAGGUGACUGUGACUCAGCCUCCAGUGGUGACAUUUACUCCAGGAUCCACUGUCACUCUCACCUGUAAGACCAGCCAAGCUGUUUAUAGAAAUAGUAAUGGAGAUUAUAUGUUCUGGUAUCAACAGAAAUCUGGACAGCCUCCCAAGCUCCUAAUAAAAUUUGUGAGCACACGUGAAUCAGGAACACCAGCUCGGUUUAGUGGCAGUGGAAGCAGCUCUGACUUCACUUUGACCAUCAGUGGAGUUCAGACUGAAGAUGCAGCAGUUUAUUACUGUCAGAGUCUCCACAUCACCAACAGUGCUGAAGUGUUCACACAGUGA